UUCUUUUCAGCUCGUCGAUAUAUUCACUAAGUCGUUGUUGGGGCCUUUGCAUCAUCAACAUCUCGGCAAGUUGGGUGUCUCUCCACACCUCCAACUUGAGGGGAGGUGUUUGAAUUCAUUGUAAAUAUUUAGUCAAUUAUUGUGAAUAUAUUUUAGGUACAUGCUAUAUAUUUAAUUUUUUUUACAUGUAUACAAUAUUUUAUUCCCUUUUAUUGCGUAGGAUUAUUGUAUUAGAUUGGCUAUAAAUAGUGGUAUUUUGUACAAAGGAUUCAUCAAGUAAUAAGAAGAAAAAUUUCAUACUUUAUUUAUUUUUGCAUAUUUUUGUGUUCUUCUUCAUAUAUUUUAUAUUCAUGAAACAUAUUUUCCAACAUGGCCAA
RNAcentral lists this long non-coding RNA (377 nucleotides) under Capsicum annuum. RNAcentral's name for it is "long non-coding RNA (CANN_LNC004625)". Lineage: Eukaryota; Viridiplantae; Streptophyta; Magnoliopsida; Solanales; Solanaceae. The record is from RNAcentral.